This 1416-nucleotide ribosomal RNA is filed under the name Serratia marcescens. RNAcentral's name for it is "bacterial SSU rRNA". It matches the Rfam family "Bacterial small subunit ribosomal RNA". Lineage: Bacteria; Pseudomonadati; Pseudomonadota; Gammaproteobacteria; Enterobacterales; Yersiniaceae. The record is from RNAcentral.
AUUCUAGAGUUUGAUCAUGGCUCAGAUUGAACGCUGGCGGCAGGCUUAACACAUGCAAGUCGAGCGGUAGCACAGGGGAGCUUGCUCCCUGGGUGACGAGCGGCGGACGGGUGAGUAAUGUCUGGGAAACUGCCUGAUGGAGGGGGAUAACUACUGGAAACGGUAGCUAAUACCGCAUAACGUCGCAAGACCAAAGAGGGGGACCUUCGGGCCUCUUGCCAUCAGAUGUGCCCAGAUGGGAUUAGCUAGUAGGUGGGGUAAUGGCUCACCUAGGCGACGAUCCCUAGCUGGUCUGAGAGGAUGACCAGCCACACUGGAACUGAGACACGGUCCAGACUCCUACGGGAGGCAGCAGUGGGGAAUAUUGCACAAUGGGCGCAAGCCUGAUGCAGCCAUGCCGCGUGUGUGAAGAAGGCCUUCGGGUUGUAAAGCACUUUCAGCGAGGAGGAAGGUGGUGAACUUAAUACGUUCAUCAAUUGACGUUACUCGCAGAAGAAGCACCGGCUAACUCCGUGCCAGCAGCCGCGGUAAUACGGAGGGUGCAAGCGUUAAUCGGAAUUACUGGGCGUAAAGCGCACGCAGGCGGUUUGUUAAGUCAGAUGUGAAAUCCCCGGGCUCAACCUGGGAACUGCAUUUGAAACUGGCAAGCUAGAGUCUCGUAGAGGGGGGUAGAAUUCCAGGUGUAGCGGUGAAAUGCGUAGAGAUCUGGAGGAAUACCGGUGGCGAAGGCGGCCCCCUGGACGAAGACUGACGCUCAGGUGCGAAAGCGUGGGGAGCAAACAGGAUUAGAUACCCUGGUAGUCCACGCUGUAAACGAUGUCGAUUUGGAGGUUGUGCCCUUGAGGCGUGGCUUCCGGAGCUAACGCGUUAAAUCGACCUCUGGGGAGUACGGCCGCAAGGUUAAAACUCAAAUGAAUUGACGGGGGCCCGCACAAGCGGUGGAGCAUGUGGUUUAAUUCGAUGCAACGCGAAGAACCUUACCUACUCUUGACAUCCAGAGAACUUAGCAGAGAUGCUUUGGUGCCUUCGGGAACUCUGAGACAGGUGCUGCAUGGCUGUCGUCAGCUCGUGUUGUGAAAUGUUGGGUUAAGUCCCGCAACGAGCGCAACCCUUAUCCUUUGUUGCCAGCGGUUCGGCCGGGAACUCAAAGGAGACUGCCAGUGAUAAACUGGAGGAAGGUGGGGAUGACGUCAAGUCAUCAUGGUCCUUACGAGUAGGGCUACACACGUGCUACAAUGGCGUAUACAAAGAGAAGCGACCUCGCGAGAGCAAGCGGACCUCAUAAAGUACGUCGUAGUCCGGAUUGGAGUCUGCAACUCGACUCCAUGAAGUCGGAAUCGCUAGUAAUCGUAGAUCAGAAUGCUACGGUGAAUACGUUCCCGGGCCUUGUACACACCGCCCGUCACACGGUACCAU